This 240-nucleotide unclassified non-coding RNA is filed under the name soil metagenome. RNAcentral's name for it is "partial contains 5.8S ribosomal RNA, internal transcribed spacer 2, and large subunit ribosomal RNA". The record is from RNAcentral.
AAGACUAUAGACCUGCGGAGUACCUGCGGAAGGAUCAUUCACAAUAAAGUGUUUUAUGGCACUUUUUUUUAAAAAAAAUCCAUAUCCACCUUGUGUGCAAUGUAAAAAGAAAGAGAUAAUAGCUAGAGUUUGUAAUAGAGCUCGAGUUCUUUUUCUCUUUUUUUUUUCUUACAAAACACCUUUUUAUUUAUCUAUUGUCUAAAGUCUAUUAUGAAUGAAUAAUUCAAAAUACAACUUUCA